CACUUGUGGAAGAAGCUGUGGGAGUUUUAUCCGUCGGCAGAACUUGAGAACAUGGUGGAAGCUCAGCCGCCGGAGAGGUUCGAAAAGAUGUCGCCCAAGGUCGGACGCCGGUAGAGUCCCGAGAGGGUCACUUUCGAUACGAACUUUGGCUGGGGGGUAUUUUAUACCCAACAAGUAUAUAUUUUGAUACUAAUGGAUUGUUGAAAUUCAAAUCUAGAAUG
Molecule: long non-coding RNA, 221 nt
Filed under: Elaeis guineensis (African oil palm)
Lineage: Eukaryota; Viridiplantae; Streptophyta; Magnoliopsida; Arecales; Arecaceae
Description: long non-coding RNA (EGUI_LNC045942)
Source: RNAcentral